Molecule: long non-coding RNA, 534 nt
Organism: Episyrphus balteatus (marmalade hoverfly)
Lineage: Eukaryota; Metazoa; Arthropoda; Insecta; Diptera; Syrphidae
Exons: 3
Source: RefSeq, a predicted model, not a curated record
CAAAGAAUCAAUUUACAUUGUAAUCAUAAAGAAGACAAGAGUGAUUAAUCUCAAAGUGACAUAGCAGACUCUAGAAAAAUGACAUCGAGCAAACACAAUUCAUAAUACAAGAAGUACGAAUAAAUUAACAAACAUAAAUCAAACACGAAAGUUCUUAAUACCAGCAAUAAUCCUAAAUUUAAUCAAGCAAUGAACUUGUCACCGUUGUCGUCGUCAUCGUCGAACAAGAACAAAAACUCUCAAGUCGCGACUCUGUUCAGUUUGUUCAGUGAAACUUCUUUUUGUUCUUGUUGGUUUGUGAGUUUUGCGUGUGUAUUCACACGCGAAAUAUAAAAGAUACACAAAGAAUGUAAGACAAUUCAGCCGCCCACAAAACGAUGACGAUGACGGUGGUGGUUGUGGGGCUCGCAUCGAGUCGACUACUGCUUCCGGCAUCCACAUCACACCGGAAGAAUAAACAGGGUGUUUAUUGAAUUAAAAAGACAUUUUUCAGUCUUUUUCUUUUACAUUUUUAAAUCAUGUAGUCAAUUUUAA